AAAACACAAAGUUCACAAAUAAAACCCCAAAACCCAAAGUCUACAAAUAAGACCCCAAAAUCCAAAGUCCACAAAUAAAACCUAUGUAUAAUCCAAAAAUAAAACCCAAAAUUCAAAGUCCACAAAUAAAACCCCAAUUUCAAAAGUCCACGAAUAAAACUCAAAACCCAAAGUCCACAAAUAAAAUCUACGACUGAAAAGUCGCUAAACUAACCCGUUAAAUCAAACGACUGGAAAGUAGCUAAAAUAAAUGACCAAACCCAAAUGAUCAUAAAGUCAUUAAACUAAUAUGACAGCAAAGUCUUUAAACUAGACAAUCCAAAUUCAAACCGACUGCAAAGUCGUUAAACUAAGAUGCCAGAACCAAACGACCAUCAAGUCGUUAAACUAAAAAUUCAAACGACCGCAAAGUUGUCAAACUAAACAACCCAAAUUCAUACGACCGCAAAGUCAUUAAACUAAACUAAACCUAAAUUCAAACGAUCGCAAAGUCGUUGAACUAAACAACCCAGAAUCAAACAACCGUAAAGUUGUUAAACUGAUAUGACUGCAAAGUCUUUAAACUAGACAAUCCAAAAUCAAGCCGACCGCUACGUCGUUAAACUAAGCUACUCAAAUCAAGCUGAUAGCCACGUCAUUAAACUAAACUACUCAAAUCAAGCUGACCACCACGUCAUUAAACUAAGCUACUCAAAUCAAGUCGACCGUCAUGUCGUUAAAUUGAGCAUCGCAGUCUUAAGCCGACAGCCAUGACGUCGUUAAACUGAGCACUACAACCUCAAGCCGACUGUCAUGUCAUUAAACUAAGCAACUCAACUUCAAACCGACUGCUAUGCCGUUAAACUGAGCAAUUCAACUCAAACCGACGGUCAUGUCGUUAAACUAAGCAACUCAACUUUAAGCCAACCGUCAUGUCAUUAAACUGAGCAACUCAACUUCAAACCGACCACCAUGUCGUUAAACUGAACAACUCAACUCAAGCCGACCACCACGUCGUUAAACUGAGCAACUCAACUUAAGCCGACCACCACGUCGUUAAACUAAGCUACUCAAAUCAAGCCGACCACCACGUCGUUAAAUUGAGCUAUUAAAAUCAAGUCGACCACCACGUCGUUAAACUGAGCAACUUAACUCAAACUGAUCGCCAUGUCGUUAAACUGAGCAACCUAAUUCUAAAUGACUGUCAAGUUCAUAAACUGAGCAUUUCAUCAAUGUACAGUAGGUAAAUGAUGUUGAAAAAUUAUAAAAUUUAGUUUCCAAAUACUUUCAAUAGUUUAGAUCAUGUCUAACGGAGCCGAUUAUCGAUUUGAAAGCCGCAUCAUUGAAGACAACUUGGUAGCACGGGAACCUCCGUGCUACCAAUAGUAUACUAGUCUCUCUCUCUCUCUCUCUCUCUCUCUCUCUCUAUAUAUAUAUAUAUAUAUAUGUAUAUAUAUAUAUAUAUAUGUAUAUAUAUAUAUAUAUAUGUAUAUAUAUAUAUAUGUAUAUAUAGCUUGGUUCCGUUCUAGCUAGCGAGCGAGUCGAGCGCACACACUUAUAUUUUUUUUGGUGUUUCGAUGUCACGGUUAGUAUCAUAAUAUUAUUGUUUCUUGUUUAGACUCUUUUGAUAAAUUUUUGAUAGGAAUUGAGAGUUCGAAACUGAUUUUUUGUACGUUUUAGGAGCUGAUUUCAUAGUUGUCGUUCAAAUUAGGAGAAUUGUAACAUAUCAUAUGACUAUUUCAACUCUCGCCAUAUUUCUUGAAUUUGUGAUAUAGGUGGGUUCCAUGUUAUCAAGAUUGGCGAACUAAUUUCUAUGUCCAUAUUAUAUUAUUUAACCUAUGAGAUGAAUUGUUAACAUAGUUGAGAUAAUAGUGGUAUUUUGAUACCUACCAGUAGAGUAAAUUGAGACAUAUAUAUGUGAUAUUUUUCUAAAGGUUAAUAGACAGCUACAGAUAGUGUGAAACUAUAACUGUAUUUUGAAUACUAUGACGGUAUUAUCAUGAUCUGUUUGAUCAUCGCAUUUGACCACAAGCU
This 2013-nucleotide long non-coding RNA is filed under the name Ananas comosus (pineapple). RNAcentral describes it as "long non-coding RNA (ACOM_LNC012456)". The record is from RNAcentral. Lineage: Eukaryota; Viridiplantae; Streptophyta; Magnoliopsida; Poales; Bromeliaceae.